This 255-nucleotide ribosomal RNA is filed under the name uncultured archaeon. RNAcentral's name for it is "partial 16S ribosomal RNA". It matches the Rfam family "Bacterial small subunit ribosomal RNA", at positions 521 to 776 of the family's 1533-position model. The record is from RNAcentral.
UAAUACGUAGGGGGCGAGCGUUGUCCGGAUUUAUUGGGCGUAAAGGGUUCGCAGGUGGCCUUUUAAGUCAGAUGUGAAAGAUCACAGCUCAACUGUGGUAAGCAUUUGAAACUGAAAGGCUUGAGUUAAGGAGAGGAAAGUGGAAUUCCUAGUGUAGCGGUGAAAUGCGUAGAUAUUAGGAGGAAUACCAGUGGCGAAGGCGACUUUCUGGACUUAUACUGACACUGAGGAACGAAAGCGUGGGGAGCAAACAGG